CAGCAGCCGCGGGAAUACGAGGGGGGCAAGCGUUGUUCGGAAUUAUUGGGCGUAAAGGGUGCGUAGGCGGUUUGGCAAGUUUGGUGUGAAAUCUUCGGGCUCAACUCGAAGUCUGCAUCGAAAACUGCCGGGCUUGAGUAUGGGAGAGGUGAGUGGAAUUUCCGGUGUAGCGGUGAAAUGCGUAGAUAUCGGAAGGAACACCUGUGGCGAAAGCGGCUCACUGGACCAUAACUGACGCUGAUGCACGAAAGCUAGGGGAGCAAACAGGAUUAGAGACCCGUGUAGUCCCUGUCUCUUAUAC
Molecule: ribosomal RNA, 301 nt
Filed under: uncultured bacterium
Lineage: Bacteria
Description: partial 16S ribosomal RNA
Rfam family: Bacterial small subunit ribosomal RNA
Source: RNAcentral